UACGGGAGGCAGCAGUGGGGAAUAUUGCACAAUGGGCGCAAGCCUGAUGCAGCCAUGCCGCGUGUAUGAAGAAGGCCUUCGGGUUGUAAAGUACUUUCAGUCGUGAGGAAGGUGUUAAGGUUAAUAACCUUAGCAAUUGACGUUAGCGACAGAAGAAGCACCGGCUAACUCCGUGCCAGCAGCCGCGGUAAUACGGAGGGUGCGAGCGUUAAUCGGAAUUACUGGGCGUAAAGGGCACGCAGGCGGUUAAUUAAGUUGGAUGUGAAAUCCCCGGGCUUAACCUGGGAAUGGCAUUCAAGACUGGUUAGCUAGAGUCUUGUAGAGGGGGUAGAAUUCCAUGUGUAGCGGUGAAAUGCGUAGAGAUGUGGAGGAAUACCGGUGGCGAAGGCGGCCCCUGGGACAAAGACUGACGCUCAUGUGCGAAAGCGUGGGGAGCGAAACAGGGAUUAGAUAC
This 454-nucleotide ribosomal RNA is filed under the name uncultured bacterium. RNAcentral's name for it is "bacterial SSU rRNA". It matches the Rfam family "Bacterial small subunit ribosomal RNA", at positions 340 to 785 of the family's 1533-position model. The record is from RNAcentral.